Small nucleolar RNA from Sinocyclocheilus anshuiensis, 59 nucleotides. The record is from Ensembl. Lineage: Eukaryota; Metazoa; Chordata; Actinopteri; Cypriniformes; Cyprinidae.
GAUCAGUGAUGAAAUCUAGCCAAAUCUGAGCGUGCGUCACACCAGUGAUUAUGCCAAGA